CGACAUCCAACUUGAAAAAUGUAUGGGAUUUGACAUGUUCGAUUUGGUAACCAACAAAUCGAACAUGUCAAAUCCCAUACAUUUUCUAAGUUGGAUGUCU
This 100-nucleotide microRNA precursor is filed under the name Anopheles melas. RNAcentral describes it as "microRNA mir-190". The record is from RNAcentral. Lineage: Eukaryota; Metazoa; Arthropoda; Insecta; Diptera; Culicidae.